RNAcentral lists this ribosomal RNA (469 nucleotides) under uncultured bacterium. RNAcentral describes it as "SSU rRNA". It matches the Rfam family "Bacterial small subunit ribosomal RNA", at positions 26 to 518 of the family's 1533-position model. The record is from RNAcentral.
AGAACGAACGCUGGCGGCAUGCCUAACACAUGCAAGUCGAACGCUCUUGGGGCUUCGGUCUCAGGGGAGUGGCGCACGGGUGAGUAGCGCGUGGGAACCUGCCCUGUUGUGGGGGAUAACCGAGGGAAACUUCGGCUAAUACCGCAUAAGCCGGUUGUCUUGAAGGAGAUGGCCGGGAAAGAUUUAUCGCGACAGGAGGGGCCCGCGUCGGAUUAGCUAGUUGGUGGGUAACGGCCCACCAAGGCGGUGAUCCGUAGCUGGUCUGAGAGGAUGAUCAGCCACACUGGGACUGAGACACGGCCCAGACUCCUACGGGAGGCAGCAGUGGGGAAUCUUGCACAAUGGGCGAAAGCCUGAUGCAGCGACGCCGCGUGCGGGAUGACGGCCUUCGGGUUGUAAACCGCUUUCAGCAGGGACGAUAGUGACGGUACCUGCAGAAGAAGCCCGGCAACUACGCGCCAGCAGCCGC